RNAcentral lists this ribosomal RNA (331 nucleotides) under Actinomycetes bacterium. Its description in RNAcentral is "bacterial SSU rRNA". It matches the Rfam family "Bacterial small subunit ribosomal RNA", at positions 1 to 330 of the family's 1533-position model. Lineage: Bacteria; Bacillati; Actinomycetota; Actinomycetes. The record is from RNAcentral.
UUGAUGGAGAGUUUGAUCCUGGCUCAGGACGAACGCUGGCGGCGGGCCUAACACAUGCAAGUCGAACGCACUCGACCUUCGGGUCAUAUGAGUGAGUGGCGAACGGGUGAGUAACACGUGAGAAACCUGCCCCGAAGACUGGAAUAACCCGAGGAAACUCGGGCUAAUACCGGAUGCCCCCAACUGAUCGCAUGAUCAGUUGAGGAAAUGCUCCGGCGCUUCGGGAGGGUCUCGCGGCCUAUCAGCUAGUUGGUGAGGUAACGGCUCACCAAGGCAACGACGGGUAGCUGGUCUGAGAGGACGAUCAGCCACACUGGGACUGAGACACGGC